CUCACACGCACCCACUUGGAAAGGAGGCAGUACCCAGGGGAACAGAGAACAGCCACCUGACAAAAAGUUCAAAGGAUCACGAAAGGCUGACACGGCGUCAGGCACCAAUGAUUGUUCGUCUAGGCAAGAAUUAAUCAGCAAGAGCUUGACGUGGUGCGGAGAUCACCUUUUCCGUGCCACAAUGCCAGAGGAACAUUUGUUUGCGCCUACAGCUUUGGUUUCUCUGCCGCCUGGUUACAGCCACAGUACACCUGGGAUAGCACCUUUAAGGAUUUACAGCUAAGGAAAUACAUAAAUUAAAGUGGGCAUAAGCUCAGCAGUCUCAGUUUCCCUUUAAUUCAGUACAAGUCAUAAAGAAACAUGUCUAAGCUUUUAUGUGCUUGUCUUCAACAGCAUAGGCUUGAAACCCUUGUCUCUAGCUCAUGACCUGUCCCUGAUUUCAUCUACGUUACUUUUAUAUUCUUCCUAAUCAUCUUUAAAAAAAUAGUUUAUGUUUUGAUGUCUUAGUUCUCUUUCCUUCUUUGAUUGAACAGCAAUGGAAAAUGGUUGUAAACAAAAACUUUUGAGUAGGUAUAUUUUUUUCACCUCCUCAUGUUCUCAGAAUGGCAAACCAAAGCAUUACUUUUCCCUUUCCUGUUCUGUUGCACAGUGAUGUUGUAGUAACAGCAAUAAAUAAAUAAAGCAACUUUA
Aquila chrysaetos chrysaetos is the source of this 690-nucleotide long non-coding RNA. RefSeq lists it as uncharacterized. NCBI's taxonomy places the organism in Eukaryota, Metazoa, Chordata, Aves, Accipitriformes, Accipitridae. The transcript has 2 exons. The record is from RefSeq and is a predicted model, not a curated record.